ACGCACGCUGGCGGCGUGCUUCACACAUGCAAGUCGAACGGAAAGGCCCUGCUUUUGUGGGGUGCUCGAGUGGCGAACGGGUGAGUAACACGUGAGUAACCUGCCCUUGACUUUGGGAUAACUUCAGGAAACUGGGGCUAAUACCGGAUAGGAGCUCCUGCUGCAUGGUGGGGGUUGGAAAGUUUCGGCGGUUGGGGAUGGACUCGCGGCUUAUCAGCUUGUUGGUGGGGUAGUGGCUUACCAAGGCUUUGACGGGUAGCCGGCCUGAGAGGGUGACCGGCCACAUUGGGACUGAGAUACGGCCCAGACUCCUAUGGGAGGCAGCAGUGGGGAAUAUUGCACAAUGGGCGGAAGCCUGAUGCAGCAACGCCGCGUGCGGGAUGACGGCCUUCGGGUUGUAAACCGCUUUCGCCUGUGACGAAGCGUGAGUGACGGUAAUGGGUAAAGAAGCACCGGCUAACUACGUG
This 467-nucleotide ribosomal RNA is filed under the name uncultured bacterium. RNAcentral describes it as "partial 16S ribosomal RNA". It matches the Rfam family "Bacterial small subunit ribosomal RNA", at positions 29 to 507 of the family's 1533-position model. The record is from RNAcentral.